CGUAGGGUGCGAGCGUUAAUCGGAAUUACUGGGCGUAAAGCGUGCGCAGGCGGUUUUGUAAGACAGAUGUGAAAUCCCCGGGCUCAACCUGGGACCUGCAUUUGUGACUACAAGGCUAGAGUACGGUAGAGGGGGAUGGAAUUCCGCGUGUAGCAGUGAAAUGCGUAGAUAUGCGGAGGAACACCGAUGGCGAAGGCAAUCCCCUGGACCUGUACUGACGCUCAUGCACGAAAGCGUGGGGAGCAAACAGGAUUAGAUACCCUGGUAGUCCACGCCCUAAACGAUGUCAACUGGUUGUUGGGUCUUUACUGACUCAGUAACGAAGCUAACGCGUGAAGUUGACCGCCUGGGGAGUACGGCCGCAAGGUUG
Molecule: ribosomal RNA, 370 nt
Filed under: uncultured organism
Description: bacterial SSU rRNA
Rfam family: Bacterial small subunit ribosomal RNA
Source: RNAcentral